CUUUAGAAAGCAAAGUGUCUCCUUUUGGCCUGAGCUUGGAAACACAGUCAGGGCACCCUGUGCUAAACUUUGCACCCAGUAAUAAGCAGAGGAAGUUUAACACAAUGAAAACUUGAGGUGAGCUCAGGUAAUUGAAGAGAAAGGAAGGGCCGAAGAGAAAUUAAGUCAUUCCCUAAAGAAUAAUAUGGCCAACUAUAAUGUCUUUUCACCAGGACACAGUGAAAUGUGUUUGAAUUCUCUGCUUCUUUGCUCCUGGUCAUAAGGAAGUCGUGAAGAUCCUUGCAAAGGAAGAUAAGCCCCUCGUCUUGAAAUAGCCAUAUUCCAAUCAUGCGUGCCAGAAAUCUUGGAAAUUGAAACCUUCGACCAUGAACCAGGUCUGAGCUGUUUUCCUCAUUGGCUCUUGGGAUUUGAUUACAACGGCCCCAAUGUUACAUGAGUGGAGCAAAGAGCCUUAAGGGAAGUCCGCCUAGAUGGAGGGCUGAACUUCAGAUCUCGACCAAACUCCUCUUGGUUAACAUGUGGCUGAUCUUAUCAAGGAGGAUGUACAGCAAUGAAACAAAAUAUAACUACUCCAAGAAGUUCUAA
RNAcentral lists this long non-coding RNA (585 nucleotides) under Phascolarctos cinereus (koala). RNAcentral describes it as "lncRNA (ENSPCIG00000007889.2)". The record is from RNAcentral. Lineage: Eukaryota; Metazoa; Chordata; Mammalia; Diprotodontia; Phascolarctidae.